CGAUGAUUACUAGGUGUUGGAGGAUUGACCCCUUCAGUGCCGCAGUUAACACAAUAAGUAAUCCACCUGGGGAGUACGACCGCAAGGUUGAAACUCAAAGGAAUUGACGGGGGCCCGCACAAGCAGUGGAGUAUGUGGUUUAAUUCGACGCAACGCGAAGAACCUUACCAAGUCUUGACAUCCUGCGACGGUGCUGGAAACAGUACUUUCCUUCGGGACGCAGAGACAGGUGGUGCAUGGCUGUCGUCAG
RNAcentral lists this ribosomal RNA (250 nucleotides) under uncultured bacterium. Its description in RNAcentral is "partial 16S ribosomal RNA". It matches the Rfam family "Bacterial small subunit ribosomal RNA", at positions 807 to 1058 of the family's 1533-position model. The record is from RNAcentral.